CCUACGGGGGGCAGCAGUGAGGAAUAUUGGUCAAUGGGCGAGAGCCUGAACCAGCCAAGUCGCGUGAGGGAGUACUGCCCUAUGGGUUGUAAACCUCUUUUGUCGGGGAGCAAAAGCCGGACGUGUCCGGCUGUGAGAGUACCCGAAGAAAAAGCAUCGGCUAACUCCGUGCGAGCAGCCGCGGUAAUACGGAGGAUGCGAGCGUUAUCCGGAUUUAUUGGGUUUAAAGGGUGCGCAGGCGGAUUUUUAAGUCAGCGGUCAAAGCGUGGGGCUCAACCCCAUCCAGCAGUUGAAACUGGGGAUCUAGAGUGUGCGAGAGGUAUGCGGAAUGCGUGGUGUAGCGGUGAAAUGCAUAGAGAUCACGCAGAACCCCGAUUGCGAAGGCAGCAUACCGGUGCACAACUGACGCUCAGGCACGAAAGCGUGGGUAUCGAACAGGAUUAGAUACCCCGGUAGUC
This 458-nucleotide ribosomal RNA is filed under the name uncultured bacterium. RNAcentral's name for it is "partial 16S ribosomal RNA". It matches the Rfam family "Bacterial small subunit ribosomal RNA", at positions 338 to 795 of the family's 1533-position model. The record is from RNAcentral.